This 170-nucleotide non-coding RNA is filed under the name Xenorhabdus eapokensis. Lineage: Bacteria; Pseudomonadati; Pseudomonadota; Gammaproteobacteria; Enterobacterales; Morganellaceae. The record is from RNAcentral.
UUCAUCGUGAGGUGAAAUCUGAAGGAAGCUGAAAGCAAAAUGCGGGUCUGACGAACAGGAAGCCGUUUAGGCGGUACAGCGGGGUAAGGCGGCCAUUAUCGUCAACGCCCAAUACUUGCACGGAACGCUGUGACGUAGAGCGGACAGACAUAUGCAGGAAGGUCACGCGA